Molecule: ribosomal RNA, 407 nt
Filed under: uncultured bacterium
Lineage: Bacteria
Description: partial 16S ribosomal RNA
Rfam family: Bacterial small subunit ribosomal RNA
Source: RNAcentral
GACGAACGCUGGCGGCGCGCUUAACACAUGCAAGUCGAGCGAAGCGGCGGCAGGGGGAGUAACACGUGAGUAACCUGCCUUAGACAUUGGGAUAGCCUCGGGAAACCGUGAUUAAUCACAAAUGGUCUAAGAUGGACUCGCGUCCCAUUAGCUAGUUGGUGAGGUAACGGCCCAGCAAGGCGACGAUGGGUAGCCGGCCUGAGAGGGUGAACGGCCACAUUUGAACUGAGAAACGGUCCAAACUCUACGGGAGGCAGCAGUGGGGAAUAUGGCACAAUGGAGGGAACUCUGAUGCAGCGACGCCGCGUGAACGAAGAAGGCUUUCGAGUCGUAAAGUUCUUUUAUAUGGGAAGCGGUACCAUAAGAAAAAGCCCCGGCUAACUACGUGCCAGCAGCCGCGGUAAUAC